This 97-nucleotide ribosomal RNA is filed under the name uncultured Cortinariaceae. RNAcentral describes it as "partial 28S ribosomal RNA". It matches the Rfam family "Eukaryotic large subunit ribosomal RNA", at positions 1 to 97 of the family's 3401-position model. The record is from RNAcentral. Lineage: Eukaryota; Fungi; Basidiomycota; Agaricomycetes; Agaricales; Cortinariaceae.
UGACCUCAAAUCAGGUAGGACUACCCGCUGAACUUAAGCAUAUCAAUAAGCGGAGGAAAAGGAACUAACAAGGAUUCCCCUAGUCCCUGCGAGAGAA